AUUGAACGCUGGCGGCAGGCCUAACACAUGCAAGUCGAACGAGUGGCGGACGGGUGAGUAAUGUCUGGGAACCUGCCUGCUGGAGGGGGAUAACUACUGGAACCGGUAGCAAAUACCGCAUACCAUCAGAUGUGCCCAGAUGGGAUUAGCUAGUUGGUGGGGUAACGGCGCACCAAGGCGACGAUGCCUAGCUGGUCUGGGAGGAUGACCAGCCACACUGGAACUGAGCCACGGUCCAGACGCCUAAGGGAGGCAGCAGUGGGGAAUAUUGCACAAUGGGCGCAAGCCUGAUGAAGCCAGGCCGCGGGUAUGAAGAGGGCCUUCGGGUGUUAAAGUAUGUUCAGCGGGGAGGCGGUACCCGCAGAAGAAGCACCGGCUAACUACGUGCCAGCCGCCGCGGUAAUUC
Molecule: ribosomal RNA, 406 nt
Filed under: uncultured bacterium
Lineage: Bacteria
Description: partial 16S ribosomal RNA
Rfam family: Bacterial small subunit ribosomal RNA
Source: RNAcentral